UGGGGAAUAUUGGACAAUGGGCGAAAGCCUGAUCCAGCCAUGCCGCGUGUGUGAAGAAGGUCUUCGGAUUGUAAAGCACUUUAAGUUGGGAGGAAGGGCAGUAAGCGAAUACCUUGCUGUUUUGACGUUACCGACAGAAUAAGCACCGGCUAACUCUGUGCCAGCAGCCGCGGUAAUACAGAGGGUGCAAGCGUUAAUCGGAAUUACUGGGCGUAAAGCGCGCGUAGGUGGUUCGUUAAGUUGAAUGUGAAAGCCCCGGGCUCAACCUGGGAACUGCAGCCAAAACUGGCGAGCUAGAGUAGGGCAGAGGGUGGUGGAAUUUCCUGUGUAGCGGUGAAAUGCGUAGAUAUAGGAAGGAACACCAGUGGCGAAGGCGACCACCUGGGCUCAUACUGACACUGAUGUGCGAAAGCGUGUGGAGCAAACAGG
RNAcentral lists this ribosomal RNA (429 nucleotides) under Pseudomonadota bacterium. Its description in RNAcentral is "Proteobacteria bacterium partial 16S ribosomal RNA". It matches the Rfam family "Bacterial small subunit ribosomal RNA", at positions 355 to 776 of the family's 1533-position model. The record is from RNAcentral. Lineage: Bacteria; Pseudomonadati; Pseudomonadota.